AGAACGAACGCUGGCGGCGUGGAUAAGACAUGCAAGUCGAACGAGACUACUUUGAGUAGCAAUACCUGAAGUAGUUUAGUGGCGAACGGGUGCGUAACACGUGGACAAUCUGCCUUAAAGUGGGGGGAUAGCUCGGCGAAAGCCGAAUUAAUACCGCAUGUGAUCAGAGGAGACAUCUUUUUGAAAUCAAAGUUGGCGCAAGCUAACGCUUUUUGAGGAGUCCGCGGCCUAUCAGCUAGUUGGUGAGGUAACGGCCCACCAAGGCUAUGACGGGUA
Molecule: ribosomal RNA, 276 nt
Filed under: uncultured bacterium
Lineage: Bacteria
Description: partial small subunit ribosomal RNA
Rfam family: Bacterial small subunit ribosomal RNA
Source: RNAcentral